GCAGCACGGGAGCAUCCUGGUGGCGAGUGGCGAACGGGUGAGUAAUAUAUCGGAACGUGCCCAGUAGUGGGGGAUAGCCCGGCGAAAGCCGGAUUAAUACCGCAUACGCCCUGAGGGGGAAAGCGGGGGAUCGUAAGACCUCGCGUUAUACGAGCGGCCGAUGUCGGAUUAGCUAGUUGGUGGGGUAAAGGCCUACCAAGGCGACCAUCCGUAGCGGGUCUGAAAAGAUGAUCCGCCACACUGGGACUGAAACACGGCCCAGACUCCUACGGGAGGCAGCAGUGGGGAAUUUUGGACAAUGGGCGCAAGCCUGAUCCAGCCAUGCCGCGUGAGUGAAGAAGGCCUUCGGGUUGUAAAGCUCUUUCAGACGGAAAGAAAUCGCGCGCUCUAACAUAGCGCGUGGAUGACGGUACCGUAAGAAGAAGCACCGGCUAACUACGUGCCAGCAGCCGCGGUAAUACGUAGGGUGCGAGCGUUAAUCGGAAUUACUGGGCGUAAAGCGUGCGCAGGCGGUGAUGUAAGACAGAUGUGAAAUCCCCGGGCUCAACCUGGGAACUGCGUUUGUGACUGCAUCACUCGAGUACGGCAGAGGGAGGUGGAAUUCCACGUGUAGCAGUGAAAUGCGUAGAGAUGUGGAGGAACACCGAUGGCGAAGGCAGCCUCCUGGGCCAUACUGACGCUCAUGCA
This 687-nucleotide ribosomal RNA is filed under the name uncultured bacterium. Its description in RNAcentral is "bacterial SSU rRNA". It matches the Rfam family "Bacterial small subunit ribosomal RNA", at positions 69 to 753 of the family's 1533-position model. The record is from RNAcentral.